RNAcentral lists this ribosomal RNA (828 nucleotides) under uncultured soil bacterium. Its description in RNAcentral is "bacterial SSU rRNA". It matches the Rfam family "Bacterial small subunit ribosomal RNA", at positions 26 to 897 of the family's 1533-position model. The record is from RNAcentral.
AGAACGAACGCUGGCGGCAUGCCUAACACAUGCAAGUCGAACGCGUGUAGCAAUACACGAGUGGCGCACGGGUGAGUAACACGUGGGAACCUGCCCUGGAGUGGGGGAUAACCCGGCGAAAGCCGGGCUAAUAUCGCAUACGACCUGAGGGUGAAAGAUUUAUCGCUCUAGGAGGGGCCCGCGUCGGAUUAGCUAGUUGGUGAGGUAACGGCUCACCAAGGCUAUGAUCCGUAGCUGGUCUGAGAGGAUGAUCAGCCACACUGGGACUGAGAUACGGCCCAGACUCCUACGGGAGGCAGCAGUGGGGAAUAUUGGACAAUGGGGGCAACCCUGAUCCAGCAAUGCCGCGUGAGUGAUGAAGGCCUUAGGGUUGUAAAGCUCUUUCGGCGGGGACGAUGAUGACGGUACCCGCAGAAGAAGCCCCGGCUAACUUCGUGCCAGCAGCCGCGGUAAUACGAAGGGGGCGAGCGUUGUUCGGAUUUACUGGGCGUAAAGGGCGCGUAGGCGGUUUUGGUAGUCAGGCGUGAAAGCCCCGGGCUUAACCUGGGAAUUGCGCUUGAUACUCUGAAACUGGAGUACGGGAGAGGAGAGUGGAAUUCCCAGUGUAGAGGUGAAAUUCGUAGAUAUUGGGAAAGAACACCGGUGGCGAAGGCGGCUCUCUGGACCGUAACUGACGCUGAUGCGCGAAAGCGUGGGGAGCGAACAGGAUUAGAUACCCUGGUAGUCCACGCCGUAAACGAUGUGCGCUAGACGUUGGAAGGCUUAGCUUUUCAGUGUCGUAGCUAACGCGAUAAGCGCACCGCCUGGGGAGUACGGCCGCAAGGUUAA